Clupea harengus (Atlantic herring) is the source of this 2219-nucleotide long non-coding RNA. The record is from Ensembl. Lineage: Eukaryota; Metazoa; Chordata; Actinopteri; Clupeiformes; Clupeidae.
CACACACACACACACACACACUGCCCACCGGCUGAUAUAUAGGUUGCUGUGGCGGGCGACUGUAAAUACUCUGAGUCCUUGAGAUAAAGUCAAGGAGAUUUUUUUUCCAUAGAGAGGAUGGGGUGGGUGAACUAUAACCAUGGGUCCUCUUCAUCUCCAGCGAUCAUUUCAGGUUCCAGAAAAAUCAAAGGCUCUCUCUCUCUUUCUAUAUAAAUAUCUCUCUCUCUCUCUCUCUCUCUCUCUCUCUCUCUCUCUCUCUCUCACUCUCUCCCCUUUGGAGCAGUGCUUUUGAUACUGUUUAAAAGCAGGACCACAUUAAAGAGCUUGGGGAAAAAUAAAUCGGCAAAUGGGUAAUUCAAGCCAGCCAGAGUGUUACUCCUCUCUCUCUCUCUCUCCCUGACCAAAGAGGACUAGGUGUGAAGUGGCCUGGCAGUGGGAUAAUAAUGGCUUUCAAAACACAGACCGAAAGACGCUCCUCUCCUCUCCGGAUCAGCCUGGUGGGUGUGAGGUCAUAUCCAGGAUGGCCGGCUCCGUGGAUGGCUUCGUCCGUCGGUCUGUUUGUCCGCCUCUACUGUAUGUCUGUCUGUUUGUCUGUCAGAUAAGAACCCCUUCAGGGACCAGCCAUGCCAGGAGGGGGGGUUUAGUUUGCGGUCGAUGUGUUGCCCCUGCCACCUUCACAUCACGGAGAACUGGGAUUGGCUGGGAGAUUUGAACUCUCCACGGAGAACUGGGAUUGGCUGGAGAGAUUUGAACUCUCCACGGAGAACUGGGAUUGGCUGGGAGAUUUGAACUCUCCACCAAUCGCCCUGGCCCCAUAUGCACUCCCUUUAUUAUUCCCACUUCACACCAGUGUGCAGAUGUAAGGAGGACGUCACAGCCGACUGUCAGAAAACAGCGAGACCUUGUCCAAGUAGUGACCUUCUCCGGGCGAUGAGGCCUAUAAGGAGGGAGAGUCCUUGGGCAGCAGUGUGAUUAAAAUGGUAAGUCGUUUUGGAGUUUGGACAUUCCCGAUUCAGGACGAUUCGCGUCGUCACCCGCUCGCCGCACUCUUGGAGCUUGUUAAAAAAAAUGACGAGAAGAACUUUCUUUCACUCCAAAGGCUCUGUGAAGGGGCAUACUUUUUAAAGGACCUUAUCCAUUUCUUAGGAUAGGUUACAGGACCAAAAAAAAAACACAGGAAUCAUAAGAGAUUGAGUACACGCAGACCUCUGUGAAUGUUAGACUUUCUGGCGGCGCCACUUCUGUAUAUGUAGCAACCUCUCUCCUGUGUCAAAAGGACCGUGGGACAUCAGAGCCGCGUGCUUACUCAAUCUCCAGUGAUUUAUGCCUGUGUGUGUGGCACUCCGACAAGAGCUAAAUGACUGUUCUUUGUAAGACUUCUUUCUAGAGCACAAGUAUUCUACCUGCGUUUUCCGAAUGCAACCAGGUAGACAUACUUGUGGUCCAAUCUUCAGCAAUAUAUACUGAUGUGUAUGAAAUUCUUCUUGUUUGUUUGUUUUUUUUUCUUUUUUGUACUGUAUUAGUAUUUCAGGUUGCGUCAAACAUGUAGCAUUUGACACAGACCAACAACAGUGACGUCGUGCUUCCAAACUUUCGAUGCACUCUCACUUUCCCCAGCCCCUUCCUUCCCCCAUUUACGAUGUCUUGCUGUGUGAAGCUUGCGCUCUGUUAUGGGUUGACCAUUGAUCUGUAUGGUAGACACACGCUCAUAUAGUCACAUAAAAAAAAAAAAAAUUGCAUUGUAUUCAAGCGCUCGGGCGACACGUUCGUUAGUUAGAUUUGUAAGUCGUGUACAGUGUAAAUCUGCAGACCACUUGUCGUUCCAUUCGUUUCGGUGGUACUUUCUUUUGACGUCUAUGUACUCUAUGUACCAUGUAGACUGUACCACUUGUCUAAACGUGCUAAACUUUGUUGAAUACCUGGUUUAUAUAAGGGCUUUUUAUAGAGACAAACAAACAAACAAAUAAAUAAACAAAACUACAGAAACCACAAUUCCAUUUGGGCUCCGACAUUAAGGCUCCCUCCUCUCACUGUCACUGUGGUGUGCUGACACCCAGGGUCACCCGGAUUGCUGCUGCGUCCAAAUUAAUGAAUUCCCUCAGCCGUGGGCUCUGAUUUCCGCCCCAGAGACGCUUCUUCUGUUGGUCGUUAUCUGGCACAAGCUGUACACCUCGGGAGAAUGGGAGACGUCCUGACCGCCUAAGAGGCAAAAAAAGGGC